AACGAACGCUGGCGGCAUGCCUAACACAUGCAAGUCGAACGAAGCCUUCGGGCUUAGUGGCGCACGGGUGCGUAACGCGUGGGAAUCUGCCCUUUGGUUCGGAAUAACAGUUGGAAACGACUGCUAAUACUGGAUGAUGACGAAAGUCCAAAGAUUUAUCGCCAGAGGAUGAGCCCGCGUAGGAUUAGCUAGUUGGUGUGGUAAAGGCGCACCAAGGCGACGAUCCGUAGCUGGUCUGAGAGGAUGAUCAGCCACACUGGGACUGAGACACGGCCCAGACCCCUACGGGAGGCAGCAGUGGGGAAUAUUGGACAAUGGGCGAAAGCCUGAUCCAGCAAUGCCGCGUGAGUGAUGAAGGCCCUAGGGUUGUAAAGCUCUUUUACCCGGGAUGAUAAUGACAGUACCGGGAGAAUAAGCCCCGGCUAACUUCGUGCCAGCCGCCGCCGUAA
RNAcentral lists this ribosomal RNA (449 nucleotides) under uncultured bacterium. RNAcentral describes it as "partial 16S ribosomal RNA". It matches the Rfam family "Bacterial small subunit ribosomal RNA", at positions 29 to 523 of the family's 1533-position model. The record is from RNAcentral.